UGGGUAACCUGCUCUUCACUGGGGGACAACCGAGGGGAACUUCGGCUAAUACCGCAUGAUGUGCAUCGGCUUAAGUCGGUGUACCAAAACUCCGGUGGUGAAGGAUGGGCCCGCGGCGGAUUAGCUUGUUGGUGGGGUAAAGGCCUACCAAGGCGACGAUCCGUAGCUGGUCUGAGAGGACGAUCAGCCACACUGGGACUGAGACACGGCCCAGACUCCUACGGGAGCAG
This 230-nucleotide ribosomal RNA is filed under the name uncultured bacterium. Its description in RNAcentral is "partial 16S ribosomal RNA". It matches the Rfam family "Bacterial small subunit ribosomal RNA", at positions 118 to 347 of the family's 1533-position model. The record is from RNAcentral.